AAAUUAAAAUUUGGUUUGUUUGAAAAACUCCCAUUAAAUUUUUUUAUGAAAAUUUUUAAAAAAAAGGGAAACAGAAAAUUUAAUUUUAUUAAUAAUAAAAAAUUAUUAAGAUUUAAUAAAUUUUCUAGCUCACUUUGUGCCAGCAGCAGCGGUUAUACAAAGAGAAAAAUUUUUUUUUAUAAUUAUAUAAAUAAUCUAAAUACAUUAUACAAUUAUUAAAAUAAUAAGGUGAAAUUUUUUUUUUUAAAUAUUAUAAAAUAUUAUAAAAAUUCUAUAAAACUAAACAAGGAUUAGAUACCCUUUUAUUUGGAACUGAAUAUUGUUAGUAAACAAAAAGUGCGAAAACAAAAAAUCAUGGCGGUAUUUUUAACUUUUCAGAGGAAUUUGCUCUUUCAUGGAUAAAACACCUAAAUCUUACUAAAAUUAGCAAGAUCAGUUUGUAUACCACUAUUUAAGUAAUACUUUAUAUUUACUACUUUUAUUUUUUAAAAUCAAAAAAUAAAUUAAGUCAAGGUGCAGCAAAAAAUUUUAGAGUGAAGUGAAUUACAUUUCUUUUUAGAGAAAAAAAUGAAAUUAAUUUUAAGGAUUUGAAAGUAAAUUUUUAAUAAAAUGAUAUAUUGAAGAAAGUUCAAAAAUAUGUACAUAUCGCCCGUCACUCUUUGCAAAAGAUAAGUCGUAACAAAGUUAAAAUACUGGAAAGUGUUUU
Molecule: non-coding RNA, 706 nt
Filed under: Bothriocroton undatum (goanna tick)
Lineage: Eukaryota; Metazoa; Arthropoda; Arachnida; Ixodida; Ixodidae
Source: RNAcentral